UGCUGUUAUAAGCUCGUAGUUGGAUUUCAAGAGACGCAGCAUGGAUAACAUGUCUGCCCUCUACCAGUCAUAGACUGUUACUGUGAGAAAAUUAGAGUGUUUCAAGCAGGCUGUUGCAGGAAUACAUUAGCAUGGAAUAACGAGUGUGUCUAGAAUCUUGGUUAAUUCUAGAUUACGAUUAAUAGGGACAGUUGGGGGCAUUAGUAUUUAAUUGUCAGAGGUGAAAUUCUUGGAUUUAUUAAAGACUAACGUAUGCGAAAGCAUUUCG
Molecule: ribosomal RNA, 268 nt
Filed under: uncultured eukaryote
Lineage: Eukaryota
Description: partial 18S ribosomal RNA
Rfam family: Eukaryotic small subunit ribosomal RNA
Source: RNAcentral